GCUGUUAACGCGAUUCAACCUUAAUAGGAUAUGCUAAACACUGCCGUUUGAAGUCUGUUUAGAAGAAACUUAAUCAAGCUAGCAUCAUGUUGGUUGUUUAUCACUUUUCAUGAUGCGAAACCUUUCGAUAAACUACACACGUAGAAAGAUGUGUAUCAGGACCUCUGGACGCGGGUUCAAAUCCCGCCGUCUCCAUUA
This 198-nucleotide transfer-messenger RNA is filed under the name Staphylococcus aureus. Its description in RNAcentral is "partial transfer-messenger RNA". It matches the Rfam family "transfer-messenger RNA", at positions 171 to 374 of the family's 374-position model. From Rfam's summary of the family: Bacterial tmRNA, also known as 10Sa RNA or SsrA, is named for its dual tRNA and mRNA-like properties. Its role is to liberate the mRNA from a stalled ribosome. Lineage: Bacteria; Bacillati; Bacillota; Bacilli; Caryophanales; Staphylococcaceae. The record is from RNAcentral.